RNAcentral lists this unclassified non-coding RNA (393 nucleotides) under soil metagenome. RNAcentral's name for it is "partial contains 5.8S ribosomal RNA, internal transcribed spacer 2, and large subunit ribosomal RNA". The stretch from base 1 to 122 matches the Rfam family "5.8S ribosomal RNA", at positions 35 to 154 of the family's 154-position model. The record is from RNAcentral.
GAUGAAGAACGUAGCGAAAUGCGAUACUCGGUGUGAAUUGCAGAAUCCCGUGAACCAUCGAGUCUUUGAACGCAAGUUGCGCCCGAAGCCACUAGGCCGAGGGCACGCCUGCCUGGGCGUCACACGUCGUUGCCCCCCCCCCAUCUACUCCUUCGGGAUUGCGGGGGGCGGAUGAUGGCCCCCCGUGCGCCUAGCCGCGCGGUUGGCAUAAAUACCAAGUCCUCGGCGACGCACGCCACGACAAUCGGUGGUUGCGAAACCUCGGUUGCCCGUCGUGUGCGUUCGUCGCGCAUCGAGGGCUCGAAAAAAUGCUCGGCUCCGGCUCGGCUUUCAACGCGACCCCAGGUCAGGCGGGGUUACCCGCUGAAUUUAAGCAUAUCAAUAAGCGGAGGA